RNAcentral lists this long non-coding RNA (1435 nucleotides) under Homo sapiens (human). Its description in RNAcentral is "non-protein coding lnc-SPATA31D4-1:5". The record is from RNAcentral. Lineage: Eukaryota; Metazoa; Chordata; Mammalia; Primates; Hominidae.
AUCCCGGCCCCUCCUCCGCCAGCCGCGUCCUCCCGGGCUUGGUGAGGAACUGUUCCUGGAGGAGCCGCGGGACGCCAAAACCAGCCAAUGGGAAGCGGCGAUUCGCGGAGAUUGGCACUGAUGAUGGGAAGGUCGGUGGGAAGGAGAGCGGCGGGGCUGGGCUGUCAAUCAAACAAUGAUAAGGAAACUAAACUGGAUUAAGUGCUAUCAUCUUGGAGGUGCAAAGGCAAACAAGGAGAAAGAAGUGAUUGAAGAGCACUUCAGAAAGCUUGGUACAUUCAAAUCAGCAGGGCUUGAUUACUCGCAUCCCAGGACACUUAAGGAAUUGGCAAAUAUAAUUGCAAGACCACCAGCCUUUAUUUUAGAAAAUGAAGGUUGGACAGAAGAAGGUCCUGACAAGUAAAAUCAGCAGAUGGAGUACCUGUUUUUUAAAAGAGGGAAAAGGACAGCUGUAGUAAUUAUAGACUAUUCAGUUUAUCUUGGAUACCUGGGAAGAUACAAGAGCAAAUCAUCAAACAAUCAAUUUGCAACCACCUAGAAGAGUACAAGCUACUGGGUCGUAAUCAACGUGAUUUUGUGAAGUGCAAAUUAUGCCACACCAAUUUAAUUUUAUCUAUGAUAGAGUGAUGAGCCUGGCAGAAGAGGGGAAAGCAAUAUCUACAACUGGACUUCAAUAAGGAAUAUUGAUCUCAGCGUUACUUUGACCAUUAAUGAAUUAUGAUGGCAAUAAGCAAAGAUUCGCACCUCUAGCCUCCGGGGAGCUUAAUCUUCUGCUACAACAUUUGCAUUUGGUGUCUCUCUACUGCUCAGGCUGGAGUGCAGUGGUGCGAUCAUAGCUCACUGCAGCCUCGACUUCCUGGGCUCAGGUGACCCUCUCGCCUGAAACCAUAUUCCCCCUCAAGUAGCUGAGACUACAGGUACGUACCACCACACCCAACUAAUUGUUAUUUUUUGUGGAGACGGGAUCUUGCUUUGUUGCCCAGGCUGGUCUUGAAUUCCUGGCCUCAUGCGACCCUCCCUCUGCCUCCCAAUGCACUGGGAGCCACCGUGCCCAGCCCUGUAUUUCUUUUACAAGUGAUGUUUUAGCAUAAUUCUGUGAAGCCCAGGGAACAGAUUCUGUAUGAUUUCAGUAAUGUGAUAGUUCAGACUUGCUUUGUUGUCCAGCAUACAUCAAUUUCAUAAAUGUUCCAAAUACACUUGAAAAGGAAAUGUUUUCUGUGGUUGUUGGUGGGAGUGUUCCUCUUGUCAAUUGUGUCAAGUUUAUUAACCUUGUUCAAGCCUUCUGUAUUGUUAAUGAUUUUCUUAUUUUUUGCUUGUUUUGAGUGUUUGCUUAUUCUAUCAUUUAUUGAGAGAGGGGUGUUAAAAUCUCUCACUGAAAGUAUGACUUCAUUUCUUUCUUCAGUUUUUGCUAUAAAUAUUUUGAGGCUAGGUUAUU